GUGCCUAGAAUCAUGAAGCUCUAUGUUUUUGCCUUUAUUUUGGCUUUUCUGGCUGCAAUAGCUAGAGGGGACAGUGAUUCAUCUGAUGAGAGUAAAUAUUUUAAAGAGUUACGUAGACGUGAUAGAUAUCCAUAUCAACCUCCAUUUCCACGACCAAAUUAUCCAUCAAGAUUUUAUCCAAUGCCAUUUCCACCACCAAAUUAUCCAGUACCACCAUAUUAUCCACCCUAUGCAGAUCCUUUUCCUGCAAAUGCUCCACAAGACGUGCCUCAAUAAACACAGCUGCACAACUGACUCAAUCUGUUUGCGUGAUGGAUCUACAGAUCUACAAAUUGGUGAAUCUCUCGAUUGGCAUCCUUCUUGGCAGCUAUUCUUAACAGCUAACUAGUGGCUCCAAACUUCUUAGAUUAUGCUGAAUCUUUUCCCCAAUGGAUUAAUGCUUUCCUUCAUAUUUUCUCUAUAAUAAAUAGAGCUCCCAGCAUAUUAAAUGUCUAUUC
This 497-nucleotide long non-coding RNA is filed under the name Monodelphis domestica (gray short-tailed opossum). RNAcentral's name for it is "lncRNA (ENSMODG00000035544.2)". Lineage: Eukaryota; Metazoa; Chordata; Mammalia; Didelphimorphia; Didelphidae. The record is from RNAcentral.